RNAcentral lists this transfer RNA (5540 nucleotides) under Homo sapiens (human). RNAcentral describes it as "PREDICTED lncRNA (TCONS_00019552)". The record is from RNAcentral. Lineage: Eukaryota; Metazoa; Chordata; Mammalia; Primates; Hominidae.
CAGAAGUGACUUGUUUGGUCUCUGAUUCUUGCACUCAGGCACAAGACAACCUGACAUUUCAGGAGAUGGUCUGUCAGAAUUGGAUCUCUGAGUGGGGUGGCUCUUGAUAGGGAUCCCUGUUAACUGUGACUAGAAUCCUGAGAAGAGAAAAACCUUCCUGAAAUGGGCAUAUCCCUGGCUGGCCUGGAACCAACCUUUCGGACUUAGGACUAUGGGAAGAAUAGGGGGAGAUUCUCUAGUGAUGAUAAUACAUGAAUGCUUUAAAAGCUAGAACAGGCGUCCCUGGGUGGUCUUGAACUACUCACCGUUCGGUUAAUAGCCGAACGCUCUGACCGAUUGCGCCACAGAGACAGGUACUAGCGAUUCCACUGGGCGCUAUAGGCAGGGCGCACUCACCGAACUCCCCAAUCCCUUCCAGCCUCAGAGCCCGCCUGGCAGGACUACUGAGCAAGGCCUUGGAAAAUCGGAGCGAUUAGAGCGGUUCAAACAAUACAGAAGUGUAUAAAGUAAGAAUUGAAAGUCUCUUCGCUGCUCUAAUCUCACUCCUCAGAGGUGAUCACUGCUGUCUUGUUGAUGGGGGUGCACCCUGACGAAUGGUGUGCUGGCAAAGAUUUAACAAAAGGCUCCAGAGGAGGGCAGACUUGAAGUGGAGCCUUCAGUGGGCAGUGUGAAGGGUGCUGAUUUCAAACAACUCAUCUGGUAUGACUGAACAUGAAGUUGGGAAGAGAUGUGCAUAAUUGAAGUGGGUGAGAGCCAGUCCAGCACCCUGCAGAGAGUGUGGAAGAUGAUCAAAGUAUGACAUUUCUUCUACCCCAGAGGCUGGCAUUUCUGCAGGCACAAAUGAGCUUGGUUUUCAAGCACUGCUCUUUGAACACAAGGAAUUCCUUUAAUGAUCACGCCGGACUAUAUAGACUUUGGAAUCAGACUCUUUGAAUUCCAGCUCUGCCAUUUACCAACUUUGACACUUUGGACAACGUCUCAUUCUGUCACCCAGGCUGGAGUGCAGUGGCACAAUUAUAGCUCACUGCAGCCUCAAACACCUGGGCUCAAGCAAUCCUUCCACCUCUGCCUCCUGAGUAAUUGGGACUACAGGGUUUUGGAAAUCUGGAUUGUAGCAGGGCAUUGUAAGUUAAAAAAUCAUCUUCCCAUUCUGUUCUUUGCAAAGAUAUUUCUGUUCCUUAAAUUUGUUGAGGGUAAGAGAUUGCAGAUUGCUUCUGUGGACUUCUUGAAGGUGGAUCUGCCUGUUGGUGGAGAACCCUAGACUGCAUGCAGCCAUGCACAUGAUCUGGAGACACAGCAGGUCAUCCUCAGCAUUUAUACUCUCUCUCCUUUUGUGCCCCCAUGGACCAAGUUAAGAAGGUGUAGGCUUCAAAUCUUAAGAUCGGUCACCACAAAAUUCAAAAAGACAAGGUCUUUGUCUGUUGCUCAGGAUGGAGUGUAGUGGUGCCAUAGCACACUGUAAUCUUGAAUUUCUGGACUACUGGCAUACACCACCAUGCUUAGGUUCGGGCCACAACAUCCGUGACUUUACCGGUUUUGGUCUCUUCCUUGUAACUUUCGGCUCCAGGAUGCUGCGCAGCUCCUCUCUGCACUAUCUAUCAGAACGUUGCUCUGCGUGCUUGAAAGUUUCGCCAAACAGAAGUACACAAAAACAAACAGAGGCGAAACACAAAUCCCCUCAGCCCUGGAGGAAAAGGCCUUGAAGCUCUUCCAGUGCAGAGGCCACGCAGAGGACAUGCUCCUACCUGUGCACAUCGGCCACGCCUGGGGUGCCUCCUGGAGUCCAGGCUGCUGGCGAUGGAAUCCAUCAUGUUGCUGAUGUCACUGUAUUCUGCACAUCUCUCAGGAAACCCAGAUGAAAUUGAGUGCCUGCUGCCCACAUCAGCAACCCAGACAUCCCACUUGAUUCUGCUUCUGGAGCCUAAGAUGGGAAAAUGGCAGGUGUCGCAGGUUGCAGGGGAAGGUCGGAGACCAGUUGAGGGCCCCGGAGUCUGUCUGGAAAGAGUUUUCCAUCCAGCCCGUCUCGGUUUCCGCAUCCGUGUGAGUCCUUUAUGACGUCGGGAAUGCCAAGGUCUGAGUCCUUUAUGAUGUUCAGGGUGCCCCGGUCUCACCCCGGGAGCCUCCUCGCUCCGGCCUGCUCCUGGCUACCCGGUGGGCGGCUCUGGCCCCAGCGACCCGCUACUGUUUCUCCAUGCGCUGCCACUUCGCAAAGGCACAUCUCUAGGUCAGUGGUCAGCUGCAGCCAGGGCGCUGCAACUCGCUCCAGGACUCGGGAAUCAGGGCCUUGGUGGGCCUCGCAGAGUGCUGGGUGUGUCGCCUGCGGGCUCCUCUUUUGGAGAAAGGAGGGAGGGAAAGGCCUUGUGAGACGACUCCAGGAGCGACCAGCGACCCCCACAAGGCCCAAGUCCUCCCAGCGCACUCAGAAACAGUCACUUAAAUGGCAAUAAGGUUGAGAAAGACUCUCCCGUGCCCCCGUGCUGGUGUAGUGGCUGUGAUUCAGUCCUUUCACCACCGCAUCCCGGGUUCGAUUACCGGUCAGGGAGUUGUUUUGCACUGACUGCCCACCCGCAGUAAUCUUUCUUUACUCCGCUGUCAGCCGGCCUGCUCCAAGAGCCAGAGGCAGAAGAGUCUCCCUGCAAGGUGCAAACCCUGGCGAAGGAGGGCAAGUCCUGGUGGACGGCCUCUCAUGACACACCCUCUUAUUUAUCUCCGUGUCCACCAUUCGCAGAAGGGGCUUUAGAGAGCGACUGAGCGUCUCGCUCAGGUGUACACCACCGUGCAGAGAUGGCAGCUCUCCUGGAGGUGUACCCAAGAAGCCCACCAUCUUUGCCGCCUCCGCCAUCCCAGAGGCGCCGAUUGGGCUGAGCUGCAAAUAACUAAGAGAGAGAGAGGCCAAGCCAAGUCGUGGCGUUUGUGUGCGGCACACGUCGUCAGCUGACACAGGCGGUCAGCUGAGCCUCCUCACCUCAGUUCGCAGCUAACAUGCUUCUUAGGCCUUCGGAAGAGGCGACAGGAGGCGAUGGCCGCGAGGUUGGGAGGGGGGUGAGCGGCGGGUGAGGUCCUCCAGGACCGCCCAUUUAUUGACUGGGUGGUACAGGAGGGCGAUGUUCGCUUACCCAACAACGACAGCAGGUGGAGUAGGCACUAAUGGAAAACUGUGGCCGGUGCCCUAAGCAGAAGGCAGGUGUAAAAAUCACUAGGACAUCAAAGGGAUAGUACCACAGUCAAAUCCCGCAAUGUCUGUCUACACUCUACCAAGCAAUUGUGCACCCUCCCCCUUUUCCAUUCAGUACUCCCAAGAAGGGUUGGGACGAACCCUGUGUCCACUGUAAAGCUCAGGGGAGAGCGGGAGCGAGGGAGGUGAAGUGCACAGACUGGGCAGAGGCGGCGGGCAGAACUGCGGGGGUGAGAGGGCGCGGUGGCUGCGGGGCGGGAGCCUCUGCUGAAAGGAGGCCUGGGUUGUCCUGUGGGUGACUGUUGGUGGAAUCUUUGGCAGCGAGUGGUUGGAAGAAUGGCGACGGGCGAGCAGAGGGGAAGGUGGUGACCCUGAGCGUCUGGCUAGGGGAGAGGAGGCUGUACUGACACUCGUCUCCUCUUACCUGGCGAGGGACAGACCGUGGUCAAGAAGGGAGCUCUCCCUGGUUGAGGCUAGUCCACCACACUCCAGCUGCUCUGACCCCUGCGAUUUCCCUACACGCGGGGCGCUUGUCUGCGGUGGUGUUUGCGCUACCCGGGGGCUGGGUUCACGCAGGCUCCUGACAGUCCUUGGCUCACCGCCCCCGACGCGGAUAUCGCCGCUAGAGACCCUUCCGCCACCCUCCUAGGGAUCUUGAGGGCCUUCCUUGUUGUUCCGACUGAAGCUCACGAACAGACAGAUGUGAGCUCUCUGUCUUUUACACGUUGAAUUUGGCUAUUGGCAAAAAAAGCCCUGACCCAGAGCUUGGGACUCCUCCCGGCCUGCACACGACUUCCCGACUCUUGCCUCCUAGCGCGGCUCUUGGCUAGCGGGCGGGCAGCCUCCACCCAGCGUAGAACCGCGGCAGCCGCAGCCCCCGCAGGCUGGCGGUCAGACACUAGCAGGAAAAGGGACACAAGGCCUGCGUGGUGGGAAAGCAUGGGAGACGUCGCUUUCCCACCAGGCGAGAAGGUCUCCCUACAGUCUUUGGACAGAAGAUGGAGGGAGGCACCCCUUCCAGGAGCAAGGCGGCUGCUCCUGAGGCCUGGCUCCGCACGGAGGCUCCUGGGUCCCGCGCGCCCUCUCCCUACCGGUUAUAGCCAGAGCUGCUUCACACAUCUCAGCCGGCUUCCUCUUCCGCCUCUGCCACCUCUUCCUCCCCAGCUCGUGGGAAAGACCUAGCCUCCUCUCCAACACUUGGAGAGGGAGUUGGAUGAACGUCUCCUAACCCCAGUAGGACAGAGAUCCUGAGGUAGGAGGGGACCCCUUGCCUUGCUGCUUCUUUUGGCACCGCUGACCCGGGCCCAGGACUCCUCGCUCCUCCUGGAAGGCCUGGGUCGUGUAGCCCACAGAGGUGGCCACGUGGGCAUCUCCCCCACUGCUCCUCAUAGAACCGGAGGCAUUAUCCUGCCGGGCCCACUCUUACCCAUGAAAGAAACUUGGGAAAUGCUCCCGGGGAAGCCGGGGAUCUGGGCGCUCGACCACUUCGGUGUGAAUCUUCCGUCCGCUCAUCCUUCCUUCGGAGGGUCUUGGGGAGAGGAGAAAUGCUCAAGGACGAUGCGCUUUGCAGCGUCUCAAGGGAAACUAGAUCUCAACGGAUACCAGAAGUCUGGAGCGUCUUCCUGGAGGAAGGCGGCCCGAGGCCUGCGGUUGCAGGGAGGCUUGCGGAGCACAGCGCCCUCUCUCAGCCUGAGCUAUCCAGUGGCUUCCAGCAUCCCAGCUGGCCGACUCCACUUCCUCUCUCUUCCUCCUACUGCGGGUCUUCUUCUUCUCUUUGGGGACCGAAUCUCGCUCUGUCGCCCAGGCUGGAGUGCAGUGGCGCGAUCUCGGCUUACUGCAACCUCCGCCUCCCGGGUUGAAGCGAUUCUCCUGCCUCAGCCUCCCGAAUAGCUGGGACUACAGGCGCGUGCCACCACGCCCGGCUAAUUUUUUGUAUUUUUAGUUGAGACGGGGUUUCACCCUGUUAGCCAGGAUGGUCUCGAUCUCCUGGCCUCUUGAUCCGCCCGCCUCGGCCUCCCAAAGUGCUGGGAUUACAGGCGUGAGCCUCCGCGCCCGGCCUACUGCGGCUCUUCUAUCCUGGUGUUCUUUGAAUGCCUAUCUUCCUUUUGUGCCACAGAACCUCUCACGCCCGCCACAGGUUGCUCAUUUCCUUGGUUGUUCUGAACUUUAAAUAAGUUAAUGUAUGUAAGAGUGCCAUAAAUGCUCAGUAAUUGACAUCUGUUAUUUUCAUCAGUAACAUCAUCUGAAUCAUCUGUAUUGUCUAUUUUUAACAACUGCAUUUUUCAUUGUCCAAAUAAAGUCACAUACAUUUGAACAUUAUAUAAUGAUUGAAUAAUAAAAUUAUUCUGCUAUUUUACAAUAAAAA